Molecule: long non-coding RNA, 3525 nt
Filed under: Lynx pardinus (Iberian lynx)
Lineage: Eukaryota; Metazoa; Chordata; Mammalia; Carnivora; Felidae
Source: RNAcentral
CCACACCCCAGCAGCACAGACCAGCCUGGCCUCUCUGCCCCUCCUCCCCACCCUCAGUGCCUAAAGCUUCACACUUAGCUGCUCUCCCUCAAGUGGCCACCUCUUGUGGCUGGUGCCGAUCAGGAACAAAACGAGACGGGCUACGAAUUUGCACACAGCAUGCCCAGUGAUGGCUCGCUCAUCGGACCUUUCGUGUGAUAUUUCUUACAAUACUGCACGUUCACUUGCUUUCAGCAUUUUUGUAUUCAGGAGUAACGUAAGCUAGAGAUUCCGGCCAUAUAAGGAAGGGUGUUGGUGAAUCGCUCCUGAAAUAAGAAUCCCGCCAACCCUGUGAGACCUCAGGCAGAAGAAAGAGACACCCGAUGGGUGCGAUGGGUGCGGUGGUGAGCCUGGCCCCUCUUCUCCCUCCUCCCCCUGAGCCCCACGGAAACAGGGCGGCCCCUUCAAAUGGCACUUUCCUGCAGCCUCCUGCUGGCCAGGGGGUGGCGGCUGCUGGCAGGCUCUGCCCUGUUCUGUCCGCACCGUCCCCAGAGCCGGGUUCAGGAGUUUGGCCCCUGGGUGCUCUCAGCCCAGCGUCCUGGUUGGCUUGCCUCCUCCUUCCAGCCCCCUCCACUGCUGGGACCUCUGGCGGGCAACUGGUAGGUAUGCUGAGCACCCCCUAUGGGCCUCCGAGGAUCGUGUGCGCCUUCCCUGCCACACAGUGAGAGGCUCAAAGCACCCUCAGGACAGUGUGGGGAAGAUCUGGAAAUACAGGAUUUCUUCCGAGCAUGGUUCUUGGAGCUCCAGUCACUAGGACGACUCCAGGAGCAAGAGAUACAGAUAGAUAGAAACACAUUGACAUAGAAGUUUUAUAUAGCUAUAUUAGAAUGAUUUUUAGACACGACUUAUGGAAAGUUCUAGAGUUCUUGCAACUUGCUUUUAUCUCAGAGCCCCUUUCACAGGGUCUGUGUCCCCUUGUCCUUCGAUUGCCUUCUGCUCUUUGUGUCACAUUCAUCUUUGUCAGCACCUCAGAAACAUGAAGUAUUAAGGCCACUGUCUUUGAAGUGGACAGGACGUGUGGAAGCACGUGUUUCUUUGAGGCGCGAUCUUUGCCAGGGCUGGGGUGGAUUCAGGAAGCCAAUCCCAGUGCAGAACAAGAGACAGUGGCAGGAGGCAUUGGGAUGACAACUGCCACGCGGUGGUGGGAACUAGAAAGAGAUCAGAUCCCGGGGCUCUGAUGUCUGUUUCCAUCACCGUAGUAAGUGAGCCGUCUCAACUCUGCAGGCCAGUCAGUAACCGGCUUCACUAAAGAAGAGUAAUAGCCCCCGUGGAAUGUCAUCCCAUGGGUUCUACUGGAUGAACCACCUUGAUUUUGUGGUUUUCUUUCUAAUGUGCUCUGAAAUUGGGCUCCCACACAACUGGACGCAAAAGCUCACGCUACUGGAGGACAUCCUGCCGGCUUUCCAGUCCCUUCCCCAAGAACUUCCCUGGACGUCGGCCCCGUCGCGCUUCUCGACUGGUGUGCUCCAGGGACGGCCCCGUAAGACACGGUGCCAGCGCACAGUGUGUCUGACGUUGAGACCACUCGCCCUGUGAAUCCGUGCAGACUUUCCAAGAGCCGUUUAAAUGCUGUGGCGGUGCCUCCACGUAACUGGUGAAUUGCCUCGACCGCAUUCAUUUACUUUGGGCGCGAACAAAUGAGGGUCUAAGAGUGCUGGCGUUAAAGGAGCCCUCUCGUGCUGUAAAGUAACCAGAUGGCAGUCGGGCUAAAGGUCCCAGGAAAAACUCUAAGUGUGGAAUCGUGGGGGAAAGCCAAGGCACUACGUUGGCGUGAAGGGAAGGCAGAAACCCUGGAGGGUGAGACACAUGGGCAUCAAGAGCUGCCACCCCCGGCCGGUGGGACACCGUGACUCAGAUCAGGAAGGACAGAGUGGCGCAUCCGUCCCCCGAGAGACCCAGCUGUGUCUUCCUCCCAGUUGCUCCUUCAGGCAACAUGGCGGCACGCACACUCACUCGGGUGGGUGCCCCGUCCAGCCCCGUGCGGGCCUGUAUAGAAGGUGGCUCCACCUUCACCCUUCCGUGGUUUGCUUCGUGGCCUCCCGCUGUGGGGGGACUCCAGGGUGGACACCUGUCUGUACUAUAGGCCCUGCAACCUCUCCAUCUCCGUCUUCCCCCAGCCAUGUUUGAGGUCCUCGGCCCUUUCCUCUGUCCUUUAUCUCUGAUGGUCAUUGAGCCACCAGAUCCCGUCUGCCCUUGAUUAUGGUUGCCCCAGCUGCGCCUGCCUGCGUGCGGCCGUGUUUGAGUUGCAAGGGCGGUCCCGCAGUUGUCACCUGACUGACGGCAGCAUCCUUGUCUGGGGCUUUACGUAGGCCCGGGAACAUAGAUCUCCGCAAAACGGACCGUGUCUACAACCUUGCUCGGAUUGUAGCUCGCGAGACUAGCUCUGCUUUGUGAAGCUGGCAGGUGCUCCAAACAAAGAGAUAGGGAAAGCUGUGUUCCCUGUGACUGUGUGGCUAUAAUCCCAGACUUGCCCCCAAGGGAGGGAAAAACAGGCCUGGGAAGGGGGCUCUCAGGACUGUGCUGCCAUUGUCGCCAAACAUCCUUAGCUUCUACGUGUUUGCUUUGCUCUCGCUCCCGAGGUUGGUUCUGUGGGUGUUAUGGCAGCAGGGGCGCAGCGGGAUGCCUACGGCACGGCCGAUUGUCCGUGAACGUCUCAGGACGGGCCAGGACCUUCACUCCUUUCCUCAGCCAGAGGAGCACAGCAGGCUUUCAGGUGGGGAUGCUACUACGUGUAUGUCUUGUCAGGCGGCAGAGACAAGUGCAUCUUGAAGCCACGGCCGGAGCGAGCAGCAGGGGGGCUCUUGAAGGGAAGGAGAGGUGGAGGGAUUUCGGGCAGGGUAGGGGGAAGAAGAGGGGGCACAUGGUGUGGUCAGGAACCCCCAAAAAGCAGAGGGAUUUUGGUAGGACUGUUGGGGGGCAGAUGGUCAUGAGAAGCAGAGUGCAGAAAGCCUCGGGUGCCAGACGAAGAACUUUCAUCUCCACCUGCUUCCUGACGAGGAGCGAUUUUUUUUUAACAUCAAAGAAUUAUUCUAACACUGAGGAGGGGACGUUAGUGUAUAUCAUAACCUCUAGGGCGCGUGACUUUGAAGGCUGGCCUCCAAGUAUACACACGACAGUCAGCCAGAUGCUUCUGAUGUUCAUUAGGUGUUGACCCGGGACUCUUUGACGUGAGCACCUCAAAUGAUGUUCUCAGGAAUUGCCACUUGCUGUGGGCUCACGAGCUCAUCCCCUCUCAUGCUCCUACUGAUGUGUCUAUGACUUCACGACACAGGGACCCCCCCCCAGGAUUUGCAGGUCACCGAUUCAUCUUUCUUUGACCGCCUCAUGUAGAGGUAUCAUCCUGGGUGGGCCGCAAGACCUGUUGAAUGCUUGCUGGUGGACAUUUGGGUUGUUUCCAGCCCGGGGCCAUGGCAAAUAAAGCUGCUAUGAGCACUUGAGUGCAGUUUGUGUGUGUGUGUGGAUAUGUCUUCAUUUGUCCUGAGCGUA